RNAcentral lists this long non-coding RNA (1272 nucleotides) under Salmo salar (Atlantic salmon). RNAcentral describes it as "lncRNA (ENSSSAG00000108987.1)". The record is from RNAcentral. Lineage: Eukaryota; Metazoa; Chordata; Actinopteri; Salmoniformes; Salmonidae.
UGUAAUAAGAAAUCUUAGGUGCUGGCUUAUUAAGUCCAGGAGCAAUCACUACAGAAUGUCCGGUCAGGACAAGGAUGAGGCAGAUGUUCAGCUUAAGUCAUGCUUCAGGAAACAGCAGAGGGAGCACCCCCCUAUCCACAUCGAUGGGACCGCAGUGGAGAAGGUGGAAAGCUUCAAGUUCCUCGGUGUACACAUCACUGACAAAUUGAAAUGGUUCACCCACACAGACAGUGUGGUGAAGAAGGCGCAACAGCGCCUCUUCAACCUCGGGAGGCUGAAGAAAUUUGGCCUGGCACCUAAAACCCUUACACAUCCUACAGAUGCACAUUUGAGAGCAUCCUGUCGGGAUGUAUCACUGCCUGGUACGGCAACUGCACCGCCUGCAACCGCAGGGCUCUGCAGAGGAUGGUGCGGUCUGCCCAACACAUCACCGUGGGCAAACUACCUGCCCACCAGGACACCUUCAGCACCUGAUGUCACAGAAAGGCCAAAAAGAUCAUCAAGGACAACAACCACCCGAGCCACUGCCUGUUCACCCCACUAUCCUCCAGAAGGCGAGGUCAGUACAGGUACAUCAAAGCUGGGACCGAGAGACUGAAAAACAGCUUCUAUCUCAAGGCCAUCAGACUGCUAAAUAGCCAUCACUAGCACAUUAGAGGCUGCUGCCCUAUAUACAUAGACUUGAAUUCACUGGCCACUUUCAUAAUGGAACUCUAGUCACUUUAAUAAUGUUUUGCAUUACUCAUCUUAGAUGUAUAUACUGUAUUCUAUGCUAUUCUACUGUAUCUUAGUCUAUGGCACUCUGACAUUGCUCGUCCAAAUAUUUAUAUAUUCUUAAUUCCUUUACUUUAGAUUUGUGUGUAUUGUGUGUAGUGUGAAUUGUUAGAUAUUACUUGUUAGAUAUUACUGCACUGUUGGAGCUAGAAACACAAGCAUUUCGCUACACCCACAGUAACAUCUGCUAAACAUGUGUUUGUAACAAAAAAAAGUGAUUUGAUUUAAAAUGUCAUGCAUUCCAAUGCAAAAUGCUAACGGUAGUGCUAACGCUAGCGGGAGCACGAGCUAGCUCACAAGCUCAACACACAGUAAAUUAUAAACAAGAAGGCCACAAUAUCUCAAAUCCUCCUACAGUGUCACAUGCCGGUAAGAGCACAUUAUGAGGUUUCCAUUGCCAAAUAACACUUAAAAUUUAAGAGAUGCGCUCUAUUUAAAAUUAUAAACUGGGUGGUUUGAGCCCUGAAUGCUGAUUGGUUGACAGCCGUGGUAUAUCAG